Molecule: long non-coding RNA, 635 nt
Organism: Parasteatoda tepidariorum (common house spider)
Lineage: Eukaryota; Metazoa; Arthropoda; Arachnida; Araneae; Theridiidae
Source: RefSeq, a predicted model, not a curated record
UAUAACAGGAAACAAAAAAAAGAAAGGAAAUUCGACUUUGAUUUUAAAGUCUACAAGGUAAAAGUCAUCUUAUCACAAAUAUAUUUAUCAGGAAGGUUUGUUGACCUCCACCUUUUUGUUCCUCUCUGUGUUUAUUCAGGAAUUUACCUUGGAAUAGAUUUAUCUCACAUUCUUCACCUUUUUCUCUAAACGUAAGAAUAGAUUCUUUACAUUAUUUGUAGCAUUACCUGUGUCUAUCUUUUUUAGGGAUCUUGUCUCAAUUAUUUCAGCAUUGUUCACACUUAUCCGACGUUGAAUGGUAGGCCGAAUUCUGAGCUUACGACGAUCAAUUGUCAGUUCCGCAGCGUUGUAAUUUUGAAACCAACUCAGAAGACAAGGGAACUCUUGGAUCAAGAAUUCGGACAAAAUGGUCUUCGUGGAGUUUUGAUGGAACUAACCGCAUUUGCACCACACGGAGAGAAACACGCUGAGAACGUCCCAUGGUUAUCCCGACGGUCAGAGGAUUCUAACCCAUGAUCACCAUUGAGGGUAAAUUUGGUAUCGCUAUCCAACAUCGUUCUCAGUAAUAUCAAAACAGAACAAGAACUACGAUUAUUUACAUUCAUAAAAUAUGAUAAUAAAAUCUUUCAAUGAUU